Molecule: ribosomal RNA, 492 nt
Filed under: uncultured bacterium
Lineage: Bacteria
Description: partial 16S ribosomal RNA
Rfam family: Bacterial small subunit ribosomal RNA
Source: RNAcentral
GAGUGAACGCUGGCGGUAGGCCUACCACAUGCAAGUCGAACGGCAGCACAGUAAGAGCUUGCUCUUACGGGUGGCGAGUGGCGGACGGGUGAGGAAUACAUCGGAAUCUACUUUUUCGUGGGGGAUAACGUAGGGAAACUUACGCUAAUACCGCAUACGACCUACGGGUGAAAGCAGGGGAUCUUCGGACCUUGCGCGAUUGAAUGAGCCGAUGUCGGAUUAGCUAGUUGGCGGGGUAAAGGCCCACCAAGGCGACGAUCCGUAGCUGGUCUGAGAGGAUGAUCAGCCACACUGGAACUGAGACACGGUCCAGACUCCUACGGGAGGCAGCAGUGGGAAUAUUGGACAAUGGGCGCAAGCCUGAUCCAGCCAUACCGCGUGGGUGAAGAAGGCCUUCGGGUUGUAAAGCCCUUUUGUUGGGAAAGAAAAGCAGCAGGUUAAUACCCCGCUGUUCUGACGGUACCCAAAGAAUAAGCACCGGCUAACUUCGUG